This 75-nucleotide microRNA precursor is filed under the name Ovis aries (sheep). RNAcentral's name for it is "miRNA (ENSOARG00000023104.1)". Lineage: Eukaryota; Metazoa; Chordata; Mammalia; Artiodactyla; Bovidae. The record is from RNAcentral.
GUCGGCUGAAAAGUUCAUUCGGGUUUUCCCAUAACAUCUUAUGGAAAAACCUGAAUGAACUUUUUGGUCAACCCA